CUGCUGUGGGUGCCCUGCCCUGGCCAUGCAUGUGAACUUGGCCUCUUGCCUGGUCCCCACCCCUCCAUCGGCUGCAGUCUUUCCUGGGCCCAGGGCUCCCUUAUUUCAGUAGCUGCUGCCCCUUCCUGGUCAGAGUUGCUCAGUUUUUUAUCUCUGAUGUCUGCAGCUACUCUCUGGGCCCUGACCACCUUCCAUGUUCUUUCCCAACUCUGGCAGAUGCUUCAGUUGCCCACCAGGAGCCAAUUCAUGUUCCCUUGCAGGGAAAUGGACAAGGGACCUGCUGCUGGCUUAUACGAGGAAAGGCCGUCUCACCUGGGGGCUUUGGGGAAAAGUUUGCUUUCAGAUGGAGAAAGAGAUGGAGCCUCUCAAGGAGAAAGCAUUUCCCUCUGGUGCUUCCCUUCUUUGUGCCUGCAGCUUCAAGGACCACAGAGGGCCAAGUGCAGGAGUAAGAGGCUGGCGUGCUGACAGUGGCCAAGGGCAUUGGAGGGAAGGACCUGUCAUCACUGGGCCAAGGAAGGAACUCCAGACUGCCUACUUCCAGAGGGCCUGCUGAGGAAUUUUAGCUUGAACUUGCCUGCCUUGACUAGGGCUUUCUGAGCAGCAGAUGAUUCUGCAAUGGUGUUAGUCCAGGCCUGGUUCUGCAUGACAUUGACCAUACUGUGCACCCUGGGGUCAUUAUGUCUUGGGCUUCAAGGGGCUCCAUGGGCUCCAGGGGGCUCCAUGUGACACUGCACAGAGCUCUCUCUAGGUCACCUGGAUGUGUCUCUUCCUAGGAACCCCAAAGAGCUCUCUCAACAAACACACCCACGAGUUCCAGGAGUGAGGCUGCAGGGAACAGCCUCACUCUCAGAGGGGAUACAGAAUUGUUCCACUGGACAAGGGCUGGGAUCGUCAUAGGAUGCCGUUGGCCUGUGGUUUCCAACAGAGGUGCAGUUCAUUGAACUGUGGUCUACAGUCCAUUCUCUAACUUGGGGACCCUUGAAGAAGUGUGGAAUCAUGACAACAACCCUGUUGGGAGACACUAUUAUUCCCAUCACAUGGAUGAGCACACGGAGGCAAAAGGAAGUUAUAUGAUUGUCUGAGAUCACCCAGUGAAGACUGUGUGGCUGGGAGUUGUCCCCAGUGUUAUCUGCACGCUGCUUCCUUUUGAUGCCUGGCCCUUCUUUAUCAAAAGAAGCAUUGGCAGAAUCUGGGUGUUUAUGGGUCAGCUCAAAAUAAAUUACUUUAUAUGUCAUUCAUAUUGUUCUUCAUUUCCUGGACAGUAGAAGUCCCCUCCACACCCACUUUCUGUUGUUAGAAGGGGCUUGUCUCAUUGUGAAGAGGUCUUUUCCUCCCGGCUUCCUGGGCUGAUGUAAAUACCCAGAAGAGAACUCCUCCCUUGUCUGGCAG
RNAcentral lists this long non-coding RNA (1389 nucleotides) under Homo sapiens (human). RNAcentral describes it as "HSALNT0060150". The record is from RNAcentral. Lineage: Eukaryota; Metazoa; Chordata; Mammalia; Primates; Hominidae.